CUUGUGCUGACUGAUGCAGGAUUCACAGAGACAGCUUCGGCUGAC
Molecule: ribosomal RNA, 45 nt
Filed under: Mortierella alpina
Lineage: Eukaryota; Fungi; Mortierellomycota; Mortierellomycetes; Mortierellales; Mortierellaceae
Description: partial 28S ribosomal RNA
Source: RNAcentral